This is a non-coding RNA of Trichobilharzia regenti, 47 nucleotides long. The record is from Rfam. NCBI's taxonomy places the organism in Eukaryota, Metazoa, Platyhelminthes, Trematoda, Strigeidida, Schistosomatidae.
UCCACGGCCCUUUUUAGGGCCAACAAAUGAUGAUUCCUAGAUUGUCU